GGCGUGCCUAACACAUGCAAGUCGAACGGGAAAUCUCCUGCUUGCAGGAGAGAGUAAAGUGGCGAACGGGUGAGUAACGCGUGGGUAAUUUGCCUCCGAAUCUGGGAUAACCCGCCGAAAGGCGUGCUAAUACCGGAUAAUAUCUUGCGGCGUAGGUUGUCAAGAUCAAAGGUGGCCUCUACAAGUAAGCUACCGUUUAGAGAUAAGCCCGCGUGCCAUUAGCUUGUUGGCGGGGUAAUGGCCCACCAAGGCGACGAUGGCUAGCUGGUCUGAGAGGAUGAUCAGCCACACUGGAACUGAGACACGGUCCAGACUCCUACGGGAGGCAGCAGUGAGGAAUCUUGCGCAAUGGGGGAAACCCUGACGCAGCAACGCCGCGUGAGUGAUGAAGGCUUUCGGGUCGUAAAGCUCUGUCAAGUGGGAAGAACCUGCCCAGUGGUAAUAUCACAGGGCACUGACGGUACCACUGAAGGAAGCACCGGCUAACUCCGUG
Molecule: ribosomal RNA, 493 nt
Filed under: uncultured bacterium
Lineage: Bacteria
Description: bacterial SSU rRNA
Rfam family: Bacterial small subunit ribosomal RNA
Source: RNAcentral